RNAcentral lists this long non-coding RNA (1343 nucleotides) under Equus caballus (horse). RNAcentral describes it as "lncRNA (ENSECAG00000040694.2)". The record is from RNAcentral. Lineage: Eukaryota; Metazoa; Chordata; Mammalia; Perissodactyla; Equidae.
UUUUUUCUCUCUUUUCCUCCCCUAUCCCCUAAGAACAAAGUUAAAAACAAUAACAAGUGGCCGGAAUUCGAACAGGCAUUCACGGUCCCGCAAUAACCACAGGGCCAUGGGCUUGCUCAUGUGUUGUCACUGAACGCUCACAGCGAGCCUGGGGGUUAAGCAUUCUUACUCCGUUUGACAGAGAGGGGAGCUGGGGCCCAGUGAGAGCCAGUCCCUGUCUUACCUCCCGCGCCCCUGCCUUUAGAAGGAAAGUAUCUCCAGGGCACUCUUGGGGCAGGACGCCACACUCGCUGGGACCGUCGGGACCCCAGUGCCUUUACCCACGAGCCCGCCGGGGAACCAAGUCCCAAAGCGGGAAAGAGGCGACCUGGAUCUGGGUCCCUUUGUCUCCCCCACAGCCCAGUGCGGGGACUCAGCACACUCAGCUGAAUCCCGAACACCUCAAGGCAGGAGUCUGCACUUCACGCCAGGCCAUUUCUGUCUCUACCGUAAAGUCGUCACGGUCGCCAUAUUGACGUCAGGUUUCUAUGGCAACCAUGCCACGCAGGCUUAUCCUCCACACCGGAAACCCCUCCGCAUGCUCCUCCUCCCCUACGCCUUUAGCUGAACGCAAAACUUCUUCGCUCUUCAGGCUGCGGUCUGAGAAAGCAGGCUAUGAGAGGCGCUAGACUGGAAUCCUGGCAAUUGGAAUGACUUACUCAAGUAGUGAGAUUGGAAGGAGAAACAAAUUACAGAGCCCCGGACCUCUGCCUUCAAAACUCUUGUUGAUAAGUUGCCUUUAUGGAGCACCUGUUCUGCUUUGCCCUCGGAGGGCAGACUGUGAGAAAGGUAUCAUGAGUUCCACGUCACAGAUAACCAAGCUCAGCCUCAUGGAGACUAAGACCCUCACCAGAAAAUGGCAGAAGACUCAUCAUCAUGCCUUCUACUUCUCUUGGAAUUUGUGUUCACUGUGCCACAAGAUGAACUCAGAUACCAAGUUAGUAGGCACUCCUGAUGUGAACUCUCCAGGAGCACCCCAAAAGAGCAUCACGCUUGGCGUUUCAAACGUGGAAACAGCUUCGGACAACUUAACUCCAGGAGACGCAGCCUCUCUAAGAUGAAAGAUUCUCAAACUCAGUUGACGUCUGCAACCAACUUUCAGAAGAAAAGAACAAAGAACAAACUGAAAGAGGGAAGAUCGUGUAGUCCAUUGCCAUUGCCUUUCGGUAUUGAAUAGCUGCCUCCGGCUUUGCUCACAGAACCGUGGAUCUCCACACCAUCUGGCAUACGAGCAGAAAAUACAAAGAUACAGCGAAUUUCCUUGUCUCUGCCUCUGCAUAUUUUUGUCACAAUCUUCCUAGAAG